This 63-nucleotide transfer RNA is filed under the name Neaxius glyptocercus (red mud lobster). Its description in RNAcentral is "tRNA-Ile". The record is from RNAcentral. Lineage: Eukaryota; Metazoa; Arthropoda; Malacostraca; Decapoda; Strahlaxiidae.
GAUAUAGUGUCUGAUUAAAGGACCUCUUUGAUAUGGAGGAGCAAGCACUCUGUGCCUAUGUUA